Molecule: long non-coding RNA, 632 nt
Organism: Brassica napus (rape)
Lineage: Eukaryota; Viridiplantae; Streptophyta; Magnoliopsida; Brassicales; Brassicaceae
Exons: 2
Source: RefSeq, a predicted model, not a curated record
UUAACCUCGUAAACUCCAAAGGAACCCAACGGCUACUUUCUCCAAACGGCUACUUUUCUGCUUUCAAAUUUCCUUAUAUAAUCUGAGAGAGAAGUUCAAUCCACACCACAAAGUAGCGACCAAUGAAAUUUAGAUCUUUCCCUCUCCUAGCCGCAGCUUGGCGACGGGUUAGUGAAGUAAACGGCGGGUCUGAUGAAGGUCGUUCUCUCGAGCGGUGAUGUUAAAACCGAGCCGGAUCCAAACGUGGAGAGAUGAUGAAGAUGUCUUUUAGUCAGGGGAUGAGAAGUCUGCUAGUGGGGGAAAGAUGCAACAGAGAGAUACGGCAACCAUCUUCCACGGACGUUCUAUAUGCCAGACAGACAGUAUGAUCCGAAAAGAAAUUGUAGAGGGAGUGACUCAGAUUGUACAGAUGCUUGACACAGAAAAAGAGUGAUGGAACUCUUCUUCUUUUUGUAGUGUGUCUGCUUUAGUGUCUUGAGAAUGUUUUAUCAGUUUAUAUGUAAUCCGUUUGUUCCCAAACUUGUAGACCAUUUUCUCAAAUUGAUUUUGUUUAGAUUAUGCUUGUAUCCUUAUUUUGAUACUUGUUGUGUUCUUGAGUUUCUUGAAAGAUGACAUUUUUUUUUGGUGUGUUA